CUAGUCUACAUAAAUGGGAUCCUUCGUAUGUAAUACAAGAAGAUGUUUGGUUGGAGGGAGUGGAGGUCUGGAAUCGAAAACGGAAUCGGAAUGGGUGACUCCCAUUUCAAUCGUUUGGUUGGGAGGAGUUUCAUUCCGAUUUCGAUUCCAGGAUGGAAUGAGAAUGGCUCAAUCUAUAGAGAAUUGAAUCCCUACUCUCUUCUAUGGAUUCAAAUUUUUAUUCCGAUUCCGAUUCUGAUCACGAACCAAAUGCUUCGGAGGAUUUGACUAUUCCAAUUCCGAUUCCAAACUAUUUCGAUUC
RNAcentral lists this long non-coding RNA (301 nucleotides) under Elaeis guineensis (African oil palm). RNAcentral's name for it is "long non-coding RNA (EGUI_LNC064047)". The record is from RNAcentral. Lineage: Eukaryota; Viridiplantae; Streptophyta; Magnoliopsida; Arecales; Arecaceae.